Molecule: long non-coding RNA, 469 nt
Organism: Agrilus planipennis (emerald ash borer)
Lineage: Eukaryota; Metazoa; Arthropoda; Insecta; Coleoptera; Buprestidae
Exons: 4
Source: RefSeq, a predicted model, not a curated record
CCGGUGUCGGUAUUAUUUUAUUGUUUCGUUACUGAAAUUAGUGUGAUAAACUUAAAUUAGAUUUUGAAUCUAUUGUACAAAAACGUGCAUUUAUUGUGGUUCUUGGACUAACUUUGGAGUAACAAAAACAAAAGGACUUGUUCGGAACUAGAUUGAACACAAAGAAAUUCAAAUGUUAUCUGACUUGUUUAAGAUAUGUAUGGGCAGUAUAUAUAUGAUUCCUCAAUUGAACACGAAUGCCAAUACCCUUACAUCUUUUCGGGAAUCGGGAAAAAAUCGAUGAUGAGCCCUGAGGAAAUUCCAUGAAAUUGGUGAAACAAUGACGCGGUUAGGACACCUAAGGAAGACGGAGAAUUCAAUGGCUAAUGGUCCUAUAGGCUCUCACAGGAUUAGUUCUUGGAAUUAUUCGGUAUAUGUGGGAUCUAUCUUAAAACUUCUAAGAAAGCCACAACUGGAUGUUUGGUAAGUU